AAUUUCAGGUUCUUUCAGUUUUGAUUUUUUGUAUCCAGCUGAAGAAAAAGUAAUUGAAGCUUCAAGAGUCACGAAAUGCUCUAAGAGAAGUUGUGAAGCUGCUUGAACAAACCGUUAACAAGUUCCAAACUCAGAGUGUGAGCUUCCAAAAAGAGUCUGCUGAUGUGUAUACCAUAAUUCAAGUCCCUCUCUUUGGACUCUGGGGAUUCAAGUGUUAUUAUAGCUGCAUAGUAAGAGGUUGAUGAGAUAAUCAAAACUUCAGAGAAUCACGAGUCUGUGGAACUGGAAGCAAGUUUGGUUCAGAUAGGUGACAAUGUGGUUCUGCAAAAGUUGCUUGUAAGUUGAUAUAUUUGAUCUGAAAUGUGAUUGAUUUUAAAAAUACUAUAAGUUGAGGAAUGCUUAGUUGGGUAUAUCACUCUGUUUAUUUUCUACCUGUGGGGUCCGAGAUAUUUUGACCCUCAAGAUAGUAGUUGGGGAGCAUGCUAUAAUUGCUGUGAGGAAGGUCACUCUGCUGUAAACUGUCCAGCAGCGAAGCAGAUGAAACAGUGCUACGU
Long non-coding RNA from Vicia villosa (hairy vetch), 554 nucleotides. RefSeq lists it as uncharacterized. The record is from RefSeq and is a predicted model, not a curated record. The transcript has 3 exons. Lineage: Eukaryota; Viridiplantae; Streptophyta; Magnoliopsida; Fabales; Fabaceae.